CUACGGGAUGCUCCAGUGGGGAAUAUUGGACAAUGGGCGAAAGCCUGAUCCAGCAAUGCCGCGUGAGCGAUGAAGGCCUUAGGGUUGUAAAGCUCUUUUACCAGGGAUGAUAAUGACAGUACCUGGAGAAUAAGCUCCGGCUAACUCCGUGCCAGCAGCCGCGGUAAUACGGAGGGAGCUAGCGUUGUUCGGAAUUACUGGGCGUAAAGCGCGCGUAGGCGGCUCAUCAAGUCAGGGGUGAAAUCCCGGGGCUCAACCCCGGAACUGCCUUUGAAACUAGUGAGCUAGAAUCUUGGAGAGGUCAGUGGAAUUCCGAGUGUAGAGGUGAAAUUCGUAGAUAUUCGGAAGAACACCAGUGGCGAAGGCGACUGACUGGACAAGUAUUGACGCUGAGGUGCGAAAGCGUGGGGAGCAAACAGGAUUAGAUACCCGGGUAGUC
RNAcentral lists this ribosomal RNA (439 nucleotides) under uncultured bacterium. RNAcentral describes it as "partial 16S ribosomal RNA". It matches the Rfam family "Bacterial small subunit ribosomal RNA", at positions 339 to 795 of the family's 1533-position model. The record is from RNAcentral.